AGUUAAAAUUUUAAUCUAUUUCUACUAUUAAAAAAUGACAUGAUUGACAAAAUAAUUAAAUAAUUACACAUAAUAUGUACCUCAUGUCAACGUACAUGAAUUAACUUUUAAUAGUUAAAAUGGAUGAAUUUUUUUAACA
Gossypium hirsutum (cotton) is the source of this 139-nucleotide non-coding RNA. NCBI's taxonomy places the organism in Eukaryota, Viridiplantae, Streptophyta, Magnoliopsida, Malvales, Malvaceae. The record is from Rfam.